CGUUCAGAUGGCCUAAUGGUUAGAGCGUCCGCCUCAAAUGCGGGAGGUCGUGGGUUCGAUCGGUUGAUAUAGGUCGAGUCAUACCAACGA
Potamilus streckersoni is the source of this 90-nucleotide non-coding RNA. The record is from the annotation of a GenBank genome assembly. Lineage: Eukaryota; Metazoa; Mollusca; Bivalvia; Unionida; Unionidae.